This 201-nucleotide long non-coding RNA is filed under the name Elaeis guineensis (African oil palm). RNAcentral's name for it is "long non-coding RNA (EGUI_LNC048927)". The record is from RNAcentral. Lineage: Eukaryota; Viridiplantae; Streptophyta; Magnoliopsida; Arecales; Arecaceae.
CACCUCAGCGCACUUCAAAGCUGUGAGUAGACGGAAAAAGUUACAGCAGACGCAUGUCGCGCAGCCAUAGCGUGGUAUGACCGUCAAAUUUUGAAACGAUUCAAGCUCCUGUCUAACCGUUAAAUUUUGAAACGAUUCGAGCUCCAGUCUAAAAUCCAUUAACAACAUAUUAGCUGGCAAGACUCAACAUAUUAGCUGGCA